GAUGAACGCUGGCGGCGUGCCUAAUACAUGCAAGUCGAGCGAACAGACGCGGAGCUUGCUCCUUCGACGUCAGCGGCGGACGGGAGAGUAACGCGUAGGUCACCUACCUAUAAGACAGGGAUAACUUCGGGAAACCGGAGCUAAUACCGGAUAAUAUUUCGAACCGCGUGGUUGGAUAGUGCAAGCUGGCUUUGCUAUAACUUCUAGAUGGACCCGCGCCGUAUUAGCUAGUUGGUAAGGUAACGGCUUACGAAGGCAACGAUACGUAGCCGACCUGAGAGCGUGUCGCCCGACUCUGGAGCUGAGCGACGGUCUAGGCUCCGACGUGCGGCCCCGGCACCGACGCGUGCGCGAUGUGGGAAAGCUUGCCGGAUGAGCGCCGGCCUGGUGCAGAAGGGCCGCGUGCCGUAUGACUGUCUUCUGGUUGAAGACCGAAUUCGGAAGGAACGGUGCACUUCGUGACGGUACCUAAUCAGGAAGCCCCGGCUAACUACGUG
RNAcentral lists this ribosomal RNA (497 nucleotides) under uncultured bacterium. RNAcentral describes it as "partial 16S ribosomal RNA". It matches the Rfam family "Bacterial small subunit ribosomal RNA", at positions 28 to 507 of the family's 1533-position model. The record is from RNAcentral.